GGCACCGUCACCCUGCUGAAAUCACAUCCCAACCUACACACCAAAGCUCAAUCAACCUGGACGAAAUCGCAGUUCAUUAGAAAAAGCGCUUUGACGAGUAGAGGGUGAAGAUUUGAAGAAGAAGGGGAGAAGAAGUCGAGGACUUGGAGCUAAAGAGUAAGAGUCGCAAUCCUUUACCUGAGGUACUGCACCAGAUGCUCCUGAUGAGCCACCAGUAGAAGGGCUUCGCAUUGGCACCAUUGCAGCUACUGACCUAAUGGAAGGUGCUGAAUCAUUUUGUGGAUCAUCGAUGUGCCUUUGAAAAUAUGCCACAAGCCGGUCAAUAUCCUCAAACAUCUUUUUGCGGAACCUGAAUCCUUUGGGGUAAAGACCAAUGUACUCAUGGUGUGGAUUUGUACUUCUUAUGUAAGUCAAUACAAAUGUGCCAGGAUGUUCAUGACAGAUGCCAAAACUAUAAACUAUGCGCAUUGGAUUCUCUUC
Molecule: long non-coding RNA, 480 nt
Organism: Lathyrus oleraceus (garden pea)
Lineage: Eukaryota; Viridiplantae; Streptophyta; Magnoliopsida; Fabales; Fabaceae
Exons: 2
Source: RefSeq, a predicted model, not a curated record